GAAAUGCGAUAAGUAAUAUGAAUUGCAGAUUUUCGUGAAUCAUCGAAUCUUUGAACGCAUAUUGCGCCCUUUGGUAUUCCAGAGGGCAUGCCUGUUUGAGCGUCAUUUCUCUCUCAUACCUACGGGUUUGGUUAUGAGUGCUACGCCAGGCCAUUAGGCUAGGUGUUCACUUGAAAUGAAUUGGCAUGAGCAGUACAGGAUAGUACUCCUCGACAUUUCAAUGUAUUAGGUUCAUCCAACUCGUUGAAUUAGUCAGGAAGUAAUUUUCCUAGUACUUUUGAGGCUCUGCCUAAGAAACUUUCAAAAGGUUGACCUCAAAUCAGGUAGGACUACCCGCUGAACUUAA
RNAcentral lists this unclassified non-coding RNA (346 nucleotides) under uncultured Candida. RNAcentral's name for it is "sequence contains ITS1". The stretch from base 1 to 105 matches the Rfam family "5.8S ribosomal RNA", at positions 50 to 154 of the family's 154-position model. Lineage: Eukaryota; Fungi; Ascomycota; Saccharomycetes; Saccharomycetales. The record is from RNAcentral.